UUUAUUCCACCAUUUAUGACUGUAGCCUGCUGUUCUCUCUGACUGAUUCUAUUAUAAUCUUGGUCCACGCCCUCUCGCUGUCUCUCAGCCAUCCAGACUCUGCUGUACAUUCAGAGGAGAAGCAACACAAGGGACUCACAGGUUUUGAUAAUGGAGAAAGACUACAGAGCCCCUCCUUCUUUUCCUCAGAUGAAUCAGACAGGCGUAAACUUCCCUGGCCAGCAGGCCGUGUACCCACCACAAGCAGGUCCACAAGCUCCACCUUAUCAACCACCUCCUUAUGGG
Carassius auratus (goldfish) is the source of this 285-nucleotide long non-coding RNA. RefSeq lists it as uncharacterized. The record is from RefSeq and is a predicted model, not a curated record. The transcript is spliced from 3 exons. NCBI's taxonomy places the organism in Eukaryota, Metazoa, Chordata, Actinopteri, Cypriniformes, Cyprinidae.